Molecule: long non-coding RNA, 2979 nt
Filed under: Portunus trituberculatus (swimming crab)
Lineage: Eukaryota; Metazoa; Arthropoda; Malacostraca; Decapoda; Portunidae
Description: uncharacterized LOC123512176
Source: RNAcentral
UCACUGCCGAAAGAAAAUGGAAGGUUUGUGUAUUAUGACUCGUGUCUCCGCGGUUAAGUGUAAUUUUUAUGGUGUUUUGGCGCGUCGUGUUGUGGCGGAGUGGCGCAGGUUAGCGGCUGACUUGGCGGGGAGAAGAAGAGGAGGAACUGUGGUCGUCUUCUGUCGUUACGACUUCAAUGCACUACGAACACUAUAACUUCAGCCAAUGGAGUCCAUAGAACCUACCAAGACGAUGGAAAUGGCUUAAGAGUCUGAGGGUUCUCUCCGCAACUGAACCCUAAAGAUCAAACAUAUGUUCCACUAUACGAAGGCACCAGAGAAGGGAGUCUUUAGAACCUACAGGCUUAAAAGUUCAUGAGUGUUCUCUCCACGAGAGAGAGAGAGAGAGAGAGAGAGAGAGAGAGAGAGAGAGAGAGAGAGAGAGCAUUAAUCUUACCAGGAAGUGUUAUAUGUUUCUGAGUAUUGCGGAUGAAAGACAAUAGUGUUUGAAAGCGGUGAGGCAUAUUAUCGUGCUACACAUUCUUUAUUUUGUUAGUAAAUGAGUGGGGGGACUAUUUUUUCAUUAUGCAUUUCUUCAACCCUUAUUUUUGCUGUCCUACGUGGCUAAAUAAGUGAGGCUUUUUUUUCUUUAGUGAACCUUUUUAUUUAGCCUUUUUGUUCCCCUUGAGCAGAGCAAUGGUCAUGGUACUGAAAACCAACAAAAGACAAAGGAAGACAUGUUGAAAAAUGAAUAAGUAAAUAGGAUUGCUCGUGAUACACAUUCUCUUAAUACAGAGUCAUUUCCUCUUAAUGUCAGAAAAUGUGAAGUGAAAUAACAGAACAGUGAGAAAUUAUAUUCGACCACACAUUAGAAAAAGAAAUAAAAGAAAAAUGUUCAUAAUGCAUAUACUCUUAAUAAACAAAUAUCUAUUCCGCUUGUAUGUAAGAAAAGCUGUAACAAGCAAUGAGAAAUUAUAUUCAAUCACAUAUUAGAAAAAGAAAUAAAAAAGUGUUCAUAAUGCAUAUAUUCAUAAUAAACAUAUAUCUAUUCCGCUUGUAUAUCAGAAAAUAGUUACAACAGGACAUUGUAAGUGAAUGAAAUCGUAUGAAUAAAAGGUGAAGCAAAAAGGGAAAUGUUGAUGAGGAAAAUAACUCGGAAACAAAUAACUUCCCGGGAAACAGCAAAUGAGUCAGUAGAUGAAUAAACCAAUAAAUGCAAGAGAAAAAAUGAAUAAAUAGAAAACGUGCGCAAGGAUAAAGAAAAAGAGAAAGACAAAGGAAGACAGUCAGCUUCCUACUAAAUAAGCAGUAGAACAAAACCCAAAGGGAAAGAGAGAAAGAGAGAAAAGUAAAGAAAAAAUCCACUUAUGAUGCGCUCUAAUAAUCGUGAAUGCAACACAGCAAGGGUGGCGCUUCUUUCUGUGGGACAAAGCGUCAGUCACCCCAGCAAGGGAUGGAGGAAAGAACACUCGUGCAUCACCGCGGGGCUUUGAUCGCUGGAACAGGAAUAGACCGCGCCUGUGUAGCUUAAUAGUGGUGAGGGAUGAACGUGGCAGUGUUAGUGGUGAGGGAGAAAAUUUAAUAUCAAGUGGUGGAGAGAACACUGGAAAAGGAAAUUGGGUGAGGCCAAUGAAGUGAACAAACUGUAUAAACUGUGAACGAAAAAGAACACGAGAGAUGAAAUAGAUAGAACAAGAUAGACAACAAGAGAAAAAACGAAGCAAAUAAGACACAAGACUUAUAGGAUGACACAGACGCGAAACUAGGUAAAUAAAGAGACACACCUUAACACAAACUCUCAGAAAAAGAACACGAGAGAUGUAUUAAUGGAAUAAAAAAGGACAAUCAGAAGACAUGACGAGGCAAACAAGACUUAUAGGAUGACACAGAUGCAAAACCAGUAAACAAAGACAGACACCAUGAAACAAACUCACAGAAAAAGAGAAAAAGAUCGCAGAAGAUAAAUUAAUGGAACAAAAAAAAAAAGAAAAACAAUCAGAGGACAAGUCGAAGCAAAUAAGACUUAUAGGAUGACACAGACGGCAAAUCAGGAAAACAGAAGCGACACACUCUGACACAAACCCUCUGUGAAUGAACGAGACGAAGCAUCACAAGACUGGACAACCCAACACCUCGAAGCGGGAAAGAAAACGUGUACCAUCGUCACGGAAAGACAGAGAAAGGAAAGCCUAGAACUAGAAACUGAAAACCCAAGUGACCAUCCCGGUAUUUAUCACAGUUGUCUUGUCUUGUACACGCUCUGGCCUCCCGCAAGAGCUUCUCCCUCCCCAUCACAACCCCGCCACACCAGAGAAAGCACCAGUCUUUGAAGGACAUGGUGGGCACCGAGGGGAGUGACUCGUUACCGCAAAAAUGAAGAGGUUCAGACAGGCAGACGCAUACUUAGAACUUCGAGGAUACAAGGAGACAUCACAUGGCGCCAAUACUGAUCCCCGACAACACACUCCCUAGUGAAGAGCAACCGAUGGGAAAAAAUAGUCUACAGACAUGGACAAGUGCCGGACUGCUGACCUUAAAGGAGACGAACCCAGCCGCUCUUGUCUCGGCAUGGUGAGAGAAUCCAAUCUUGUAUCUUUUGGUUCUGAGCCACGCACGCUGACCACUACUGAUUUUUUUGUUCUUUUUUAGGAGUUUGGAAAGAGAUCGACAGAAUGGGUGAAGAAUAGAUAAGAAUGAGUGGCGUUUGUAAAGAGACAGAGUGAGUGAAAGGGAAAAGAAUGCUAAGUGACGUUUGAGUUGUCCAGAAAUUGUAUACAAACAGUGGAAUUCAGAAAAAUAUAGAAAACAAGGUAAUUUUCUUAUUUCUUAGUUGCGUUUGGAAAGAAAUUGAAAUAGUAAGAAGAUACUGAAGAUGCCACCAAAGUGAUAUUCAAAUACCCACGCAUUUGAUAUAAUUAGUAGGAAAUCUGAAACAAACAAGGCUUAUACAAAUUCAACUUUUCUUUUUUUUUUUUUAGCAGAGUUUGUAAAGAGAAUGAG